CCUACGGGGGGCAGCAGUGGGGAAUAUUGCACAAUGGGGGAAACCCUGAUGCAGCGACGCCGCGUGAGUGAAGAAGUAUUUCGGUAUGUAAAGCUCUAUCAGCAGGGAAGAAGAAAGACGGUACCUGACUAAGAAGCCCCGGCUAACUACGUGCCAGCAGCCGCGGUAAUACGUAGGGGGCAAGCGUUAUCCGGAUUUACUGGGUGUAAAGGGAGCGUAGACGGCUGUGCAAGUCUGAAGUGAAAGCCCAGGGCUCAACCCUGGGACUGCUUUGGAAACUGUGGGGCUAGAGUGCUGGAGGGGUAGGUGGAAUUCCUGGUGUAGCGGUGAAAUGCGUAGAUAUUAGGAGGAACACCGGUGGCGAAGGCGGCUUACUGGACAGUAACUGACGUUGAGGCUCGAAAGCGUGGGGAGCGAACAGGAUUAGAUACCCGGGUAGUC
This 441-nucleotide ribosomal RNA is filed under the name uncultured bacterium. RNAcentral's name for it is "partial 16S ribosomal RNA". It matches the Rfam family "Bacterial small subunit ribosomal RNA", at positions 338 to 795 of the family's 1533-position model. The record is from RNAcentral.